Molecule: ribosomal RNA, 383 nt
Filed under: uncultured bacterium
Lineage: Bacteria
Description: bacterial SSU rRNA
Rfam family: Bacterial small subunit ribosomal RNA
Source: RNAcentral
GACGAACGCUGGCGGCGUGCUUAACACAUGCAAGUCGAGCGGUAAGGCCCUUUCGGGGGUACACGAGCGGCGAACGGGUGAGUAACACGUGGGUGACCUGCCCUUAGCUCUGGGAUAAGCCUGGGAAACUGGGUCUAAUACCGGAUAUGACUCCAUGACGCAUGUUGUGGGGUGGAAAGCCUUGUGCGGCUAGGGAUGGGCCCGCGGCCUAUCAGCUUGUUGGUGGGGUGAUGGCCUACCAAGGCGACGACGGGUAGCCGGCCUGAGAGGGCGACCGGCCACACUGGGACUGAGACACGGCCCAGACUCCUACGGGAGGCAGCAGUGGGGAAUCUUGCGCAAUGGGCGAAAGCCUGACGCAGCGACGCCGCGUGAGGGAUGAC